This 496-nucleotide ribosomal RNA is filed under the name uncultured bacterium. RNAcentral describes it as "partial 16S ribosomal RNA". It matches the Rfam family "Bacterial small subunit ribosomal RNA", at positions 28 to 507 of the family's 1533-position model. The record is from RNAcentral.
GACGAACGCUGGCGGCGUGCCUAAUACAUGCAAGUUGAGCGCUGAAGGUUGGUACUUGUACCAACUGGAUGAGCAGCGAACGGGUGAGUAACGCGUGGGGAAUCUGCCUUUGAGCGGGGGACAACAUUUGGAAACGAAUGCUAAUACCGCAUAAAAACUUUAAACACAAGUUUUAAGUUUGAAAGAUGCAAUUGCAUCACUCAAAGAUGAUCCCGCGUUGUAUUAGCUAGUUGGUGAGGUAAAGGCUCACCAAGGCGAUGAUACAUAGCCGACCUGAGAGGGGGACCGCCCCAUUGGGAACUGGACAAGGCCCAAAACUCCAAGGGGAGCCAGCGGAGGGGAUCUUUCGGAAAGGGAGGAAGUUCGGACCGGGAAAGGCGGGGGGGGGAAGAAGGGUUUCGGAUCGUAAAACUCUGUUGGUAGAGAAGAACGUUGGUGAGAGUGGAAAGCUCAUCAAGUGACGGUAACUACCCAGAAAGGGACGGCUAACUACGUG